GCGUCGCGGGCGCAGAGCGGCCAGGCAGCCAACUCCUUUCUGAUAGGCUGCGCUGUAGAAAAAACAUGAUGUCAGCUAGGGUUUAAGUGCUAUAUAUAGUAUGUGGACAAGAUUACAAACUCGGGGGAUCUGUCUUUGACCAAUAGAAUACCUGGGACAGUUGCUCCAAGCUUCUCAACACCGAAGUCAUUAACUGUACCCCACUGUAAAGGUCAGCCUUGCAGCUUUGGAAGGACAGACUUGCACCUAGCAGAAGCCUGGGUCUCCUCGUAUGCCGGCUGCUUUCUCUGAACUGGAUAUGUCCUAGUAAAGAAGAUAGAACAUAGGAAUGGGAAAUACAAGAUGCUCCAACAGGUAUGGGAGUUGUAGGAACAAAACCAACAGACAUAUCAUUGAAAGAGAUCUGGACCAUCUCUUUGCUAUGGUCCUCAGCAGGCUUCCGUAUCCUGAAGUGACUUGCAGUUGGUCUGCCACAGAGCCUUGCACAAGUGUC
Aquila chrysaetos chrysaetos is the source of this 493-nucleotide long non-coding RNA. RefSeq lists it as uncharacterized. The record is from RefSeq and is a predicted model, not a curated record. The transcript has 3 exons. Lineage: Eukaryota; Metazoa; Chordata; Aves; Accipitriformes; Accipitridae.